Molecule: ribosomal RNA, 494 nt
Filed under: uncultured bacterium
Lineage: Bacteria
Description: partial 16S ribosomal RNA
Rfam family: Bacterial small subunit ribosomal RNA
Source: RNAcentral
GACGAACGCUGGCGGCGUGCUUAACACAUGCAAGUCGAACGGAAAGGCCUGCUUUCCCUUGUGGAUUGCGGGUACUCGAGUGGCGAACGGGUGAGUAACACGUGAGUGAUCUGCCCCCAACUUGGGUAUAAGCCUGGGAAACUGGGUCUAAUUCCCGAUAGGACUGCAGGGUGGUGCCUGUGGUGGAAAACGAUUUUCUAGUGGUUGGGGAUGAGCUCGCGGCCUUUCAGCUUGUUGGUGGGGUAAUGCCCUACCAAGGCGGCGACGGGUAGCCGGCCUGAGAGGGUGGACGGCCACAUUGGGACUGAGAUACGGCCCAGACUCCUACGGGAGGCAGCAGUGGGGAAUAAUGCACAAUGGGCGGAAGCCUGAUGCAGCGACGCCGCGUGGGGGAUGACGGCCUUCGGGUUGUAAACUCCUUUCGACCGCGAGGAAGCCACCUGGUUGGAAGGGUGGUGACGGUAGUGGUAGAAGAAGCACCGGCUAACUACGUG